This 450-nucleotide ribosomal RNA is filed under the name uncultured bacterium. RNAcentral describes it as "bacterial SSU rRNA". It matches the Rfam family "Bacterial small subunit ribosomal RNA", at positions 29 to 524 of the family's 1533-position model. The record is from RNAcentral.
AACGAACGCUGGCGGCAUGCCUAACACAUGCAAGUCGAACGAAGCCUUCGGGCUUAGUGGCGCACGGGUGCGUAACGCGUGGGAAUCUGCCCUUGGGUUCGGAAUAACAGUUAGAAAUGACUGCUAAUACCGAAUGAUGUCUUCGGACCAAAGAUUUAUCGCCCAAGGAUGAGCCCGCGUCGGAUUAGCUAGUUGGUGAGGUAAAGGCUCACCAAGGCGACGAUCCGUAGCUGGUCUGAGAGGAUGAUCAGCCACACUGGGACUGAGACACGGCCCAGACUCCUACGGGAGGCAGCAGUGGGGAAUAUUGGACAAUGGGCGAAAGCCUGAUCCAGCAAUGCCGCGUGAGUGAUGAAGGCCUUAGGGUGUAAAGCUCUUUUACCCGGGAUGAUAAUGACAGUACCGGGAGAAUAAGACCCCGGCUAACUCCGUGCCAGCAGCCGCGGUAAU